AAGAGAACAUCUGCAGAGGCCCCAGCUGUGGAUGAUAAGGAUUUUGGCAUUUCAGUUUCCAUCUAUCGGAAUUUAUGGCACCUAGAGACCUGCAGACGUCCAUGAGGUUUGUCCUUAGAAAUUAGUGUGUCGUACCAAAUAUUUCCAUGGGCAAGAACUGAGGAUACAUCUGGUUCAAAUAAUUUUUUAAUGAACUGCAAUAUUAUAUGUAUAUUUAAGGCAAACUACAUGUAUAUCUAGAUGCUUUUUUUGGAUGUGUAAGUUGCUAUUAUAAAUCUACAACCAAGAUCACUAAAGAAAGGUGCUGGCAGAAACAAUUGGAGACAAUCGACAUCUACCUCAAACGCUCUAACCAGGCCUGGCAAGAAGCAACAAAGUCCCACAGAUGUUUUGAAAUACGCAGAUGACAGUCUCGCACAGGAAGUAAGUUCCCAUUUUAAAACAAGCCUGCGAUAUUGUUUGCCGGCAAUGAAACAAAGGUUACAUGUUUCAAAAGUUUGCACAGGAGAUCCAAGACCAUACUCUUGUGAGGAUCUGUGGAGUUAUUCUUGAUCAUUGUGACUGCCACAUGAAGAGUUACAGCCGAUUGUUUUGGACAUCUAGGACCAGUUUCACAUACUGAGGAAAUCACCACUGUUGUGUUGCAUCAGGAUUAACACUACAGCAGAGGCGAGUGGAUACUGUGCUUCAGUAAGAAAAUCUUAUUAAAAUCACGAGAUGAGACACCACUGUGGAGAAAUGGCAAGUGGAGAAAGAAUUGCAACAUAUGUAAAGGAGGCCUGCUGAGGCUACGCUUUAGGACUUUUUUUUUUUCAGUUGUGUUUGGUCUACGUUUCUCCUUUAAGAGGGAUCAGAUAUUUUUAUUUUUUAAUAUUCUUAUUUGCAAAGUUUUACAAACAACUUUUUCUUUGUUUAACACAGAAAUAUCAGCUCCAACAUCAGAGCAAGCUCAGAGGAAACAGCUGCACCCUGUACUUGAUUUUAGCUAAACUAGCACAGAGAAGGUGUUCCUGAUACUUGCAAAGGCCUCAUGCAAAACCCAGAGCCCCAUGUUUGAUAGUAUACAGUCUCCUUCUGGAUUUUUGGUGCUUUGAAAAAGAAUUUGGGAAAGUGCUUAGACUCUAGUGAUAUCCAUCAUAACAUUUAAGACUAAUCUCAGUUCAGUCAUGAUAUUGUAAUUUAGAGUCCAGCAAAGAUUUGUAUUUGUCUACUUUACUAUGCCUUCACACAUUUGAAUUUAUUUCAUGUAUGAUAGUGGCAAUUAAGUAUUGUAACUUUGUAAUGCUUGUUUUCAUUCAACUUUUCAUGAAUGUGGGUUUGGGUUAUAAUUGGUUUGGGGUCUUUAUUUUCAUUCUAGGAGAUCAGGAAAUGAGUAAAGUAAAAGUUUUCAGGAACACUCAUUACUUGUGCAAGACUUUGUCAUAUUCAGCUUAGACCUUUAGAGAAGUUCAUUUAAAAGCUCGUCAUAUCUAUUUUUCUUGGAGGAAUUUUACUCAUAAAAUUGCUCAUUAAUAAUUUUCUGAACUGUUCAUAUAAAUUACAAUUACAACUUUCUUUCAUACUUCUUCCAAAUUUCACAUGUCAAUGGCUUGCAGAUGAGUUCUAGUUAAACAAAGGCUAUAGAAUUAUUUAUUUAAUGCUCCUGCUGUCAGUACCCUGCCUGUUACUGCUGCAUCUACCAACCCUGAGUUUACUACUGUGACGAUGCUUGACAUAUUCUCACACUUUCCACCCAACCAGUAGCCUGCUUCUUUCUCCAUCAUGGUGCAUCACUCAAUGAAGGCAUGCAUCUGGAAGGUAGGACCAUUGGCCUCUGGGACACAGAGUACUCCUGCCAGAGACUUGAGGAAGCCAGAGGCUGCUGCCUUCUGGUUUCCAUGUGCCCCAUCUGGCACCAUCAUCGGCUCUGAAUCAGGAAGGAAAGAUGUCAAACAAACACAUGAGGUCAGCAAGGGCCAUCGGAGCAGAAUUUCAGCAGCCACUUGCAUCUCAAAAGUUAAAAAAAAUCUGACUGUUUCUGAAAGUGGGAUCACAC
Long non-coding RNA from Myiozetetes cayanensis, 2035 nucleotides. RefSeq lists it as uncharacterized. Lineage: Eukaryota; Metazoa; Chordata; Aves; Passeriformes; Tyrannidae. The transcript has 6 exons. The record is from RefSeq and is a predicted model, not a curated record.